This 73-nucleotide transfer RNA is filed under the name Dichanthelium oligosanthes. It matches the Rfam family "tRNA". From Rfam's summary of the family: Transfer RNA (tRNA) molecules are approximately 80 nucleotides in length. The record is from Rfam by way of RNAcentral. Lineage: Eukaryota; Viridiplantae; Streptophyta; Magnoliopsida; Poales; Poaceae.
GCAGGGAUAGCUCAGUUGGGACAGCGUCAGACUGAAGAUCUGAAGGUCGCGUAUUCGACCCACGCUCCCCGCA